AUAUGUAAAUAAACUUUUCUUUCCAGUAUCUGUUCUUUUCAGCUUAAUAUCUGAGAAGGGCCCGAGAUGGGUCCUCGAUAUUAACUUUAUUUUUGUAGCGAAGUGGGGUUCUCUGGGCUUGCCCGGAAUCUGCCACGGUCGGUCCUGCAUUGCAGUAUAGCGGGGAUCGGCCCAAUUCCU
This 180-nucleotide small nuclear RNA is filed under the name Ixodes scapularis (black-legged tick). Its description in RNAcentral is "U2 spliceosomal RNA". It matches the Rfam family "U2 spliceosomal RNA". Rfam says of the family: U2 is a small nuclear RNA (snRNA) component of the spliceosome (involved in pre-mRNA splicing). Lineage: Eukaryota; Metazoa; Arthropoda; Arachnida; Ixodida; Ixodidae. The record is from RNAcentral.